CGAUUCCGUAUGCAUCGAGCGGAUCGACGAUGAAGCCUUCAAUCUCAAGGGACCAACCAACCUCGGAUAUGAUGAUGCCAAGAAAGGUCUCCUUGCAAGAGUGGUUGAUGGAAUUUUCAGAGAAAUCACUUCUGCUGAUUCACUCAAGUAUACAGUCAAAUUGUCCAUGGUGCGCCUACACAAGCUGGUGCUUCACUUAAUUAUUGAUGUAAUGCUCUAUUUUUUACGUUUUUCAACUUUUAAAAGGUAAAAGACCUACAUGGAGAAAGUAAGGUAUAGAUUACCAUGACUACAUUUGAAGACAUUCAUGUUGAGAUAAUGGCUUUUCUCUAUUUUAAUUAUUGCAUGCCGUAUGUCGUUCUCCUGAAUCUCAUCCAUUAAUCCCAGGAAGGAAGUUUCAUAAAUAAAACCUCAUGGACAUCAUUUACUUUCCUUCUUCCAGGGACCUUUUAGAUCUUUCAAAGGACAACAUACAAAUUAAAGAGACCAAAUAGGCGGUUUAAGACACCAGUUUUUUAUGUGCUCUGGGCCUGAAGAAUGCAUCUUAAGAUGCCUAUGUGCCUCAAACACGUUCACAAAAUGUUUCUGAGAAAAAGAUGUUAUUUUGCUCUAUGGACUCAAAUGGUGUUUCUGGCAAUACCACAAGUGGAACUACUAGAAAUUGGUUUGCUGCUCGAUCAUAAAUCUACCUAUUCUUUAUUGUCUGCGCAAAACUGGAUAGCUUAUUGAGUUAAAACUGUCUAUACUUACAUAUCAUCUUAUGCUUUCUUUCUGUGAGACCCCCUUGAUGUUUUCUACCUUCCAUCCAGAUAUUUCUAUCAGACAUUCCUAAAGCAUUACAAGGCUUAUCUGUAAGAUACAAGCUCAAUUUCAUUUGACUGUUUUCCAAUCUUCCUGGGUUGAUCUUCUAUUUCCAUCCUCUGAAAUCCAAUGUGGUAUAUGCAACAGAGCAGUUGGGGAGACCCGUAUCCUUACUGCUUUCCGUUUUGGCUUGUGCUUGCUCUUAAUCUUGCAUAGCCAUAUCAGAACUUUAUCUACAAUAUCUGCCACCUUCGCUAAUUAUGCUUACAGUUUCAAACUUUAAACUGAAAAAGAUAUGAAUGUGGGCAGCAGCAGAAGCUAUUGUAUUUACAUAUUCUUGGUGCACCAGGAAUCAACCAUACAGAAGAGAACAUUUGGAAAGCUAAUUCUUGUGGAUCUGGCUGGCUCUGAGAAGGUUGAGAAAACGGGAGCAGAGGGCAGGGUUCUUGAAGAAGCUAAAACCAUCAAUAAGUCCCUGUCAGCACUUGGAAAUGUAGUGCAUGCCUUGACAUGCGGUCCAAACGGAAGAGGAAAUCAUAUUCUGUAUCCCAACUUUAAACUUACUCGGAUAUUGCAAGAUUCUCUUGUAAGACUGCCGCACAUUAGUGCUUCCAUUAUCCUGCUAGUAAUGUGGUUGUCUCACAGUGAGGGAACUCUCAAAUGGCAUUACUAUGUUCUUGUUCACCUGGCCCUUCAAAUGCAUCAGAAACGCUGUCAACCCUGGUGCCAGGUAUGGAUGUUGGAAGUCAAAACUCAUAUACGGCAGGACAUGUUCUUAUUCGGAUGGACAUGUUCAUUAGGAAUACAAAGAGAAAAUGGGAGUUUUAAAGUCAGGAAGUUCUAGCUUUC
Eucalyptus grandis is the source of this 1650-nucleotide long non-coding RNA. RefSeq lists it as uncharacterized. Lineage: Eukaryota; Viridiplantae; Streptophyta; Magnoliopsida; Myrtales; Myrtaceae. The transcript is spliced from 3 exons. The record is from RefSeq and is a predicted model, not a curated record.